This 1312-nucleotide small RNA is filed under the name uncultured beta proteobacterium. RNAcentral describes it as "bacterial SSU rRNA". The stretch from base 1 to 465 matches the Rfam family "Bacterial small subunit ribosomal RNA", at positions 1064 to 1533 of the family's 1533-position model. Lineage: Bacteria; Pseudomonadati; Pseudomonadota; Betaproteobacteria. The record is from RNAcentral.
GUCGUGAGAUGUUGGGUUAAGUCCCGCAACGAGCGCAACCCUUGUCCCUAGUUGCUACGCAAGGGCACUCUAGGGAGACUGCCGGUGACAAACCGGAGGAAGGCGGGGAUGACGUCAAGUCCUCAUGGCCCUUAUGGGUAGGGCUUCACACGUCAUACAGUGGCCGGUACAGAGGGUUGCCAACCCGCGAGGGGGAGCCAAUCCCAGAAAGCCGGUCGUAGUCCGGAUUGCAGUCUGCAACUCGACUGCAUGAAGUCGGAAUCGCUAGUAAUCGCGGAUCAGCAUGUCGCGGUGAAUACGUUCCCGGGUCUUGUACACACCGCCCGUCACACCAUGGGAGCGGGAUGUACCAGAAGUAGGUAGGCUAACUCGCAAGAGGGGCCGCUUACCACGGUGCGUUUCGUGACUGGGGUGAAGUCGUAACAAGGUAGCCGUAUCGGAAGGUGCGGCUGGAUCACCUCCUUUCUCGGACUCAGGAGUCAGGAGUCAGAAGACAGAGGUCAGCAACGGCCAAAGUCGAUGGACCCUGCCACUCCCAUGCCCAAGCUGCGAGUACCCACAACCUAUCGGUUGUACUCAGAAGACAGAAUUCAGAGGGCAGAAGACAGCGAAGGCAGGGCGUCGCGAUGCGCGGCUUUUUCUGACUUCUGUCCUCUGAAUUCUGACUCCUGAAACGGGCCUGUAGCUCAGUUGGUUAGAGCACCGUCUUGAUAAGGCGGGGGUCGAUGGUUCGAAUCCAUCCAGACCCACCAGCAUCGCACCGGGGCUGUAGCUCAAUUGGGAGAGCGCCUGCUUUGCAAGCAGGAGGUCGUCGGUUCGAUCCCGUCCAGCUCCACCAGUUUUCAGCGAUCAGCUGUCAGCAAGAGCGGAUGGCGUGACGGUGUACCUAUUGGUUGCAGGAUCAGUCCUCAGUUUUUCACUUUUGGCACGUGGUUGCUGAAAGCUGAGAGCGGAAAGCUGAGAGCUGAAACAGUGUUCUUUAACAAUUUGGAAGGCAAGGGUUCAUGCGACUUGAUGAGAGUCGGAUGAACAUAGGGUUGAGUUGUAUCUUCAAAAGCCGGGCACCUUUUAAAAAGGGGGGUGGCCGGUGGCGCGAACACAUCGUAACGAUGUGCCUGGCGUGGAUCGGCGUUAGUGGCAGGGGUUUUUCUGAUCCCUGAUUCCUGAAUUCUGAUCCCUGGAAGGCUCACAGUUAUGGGGUCAAGCGACUAAGUGCAUGUGGUGGAUGCCUUGGCGAUUACAGGCGAUGAAGGACGUGGCAGCCUGCGAAAAGCUCCGGGGAGCUGGCAAACAAGCAUUGAUCCGGAGAUGU